Molecule: long non-coding RNA, 1561 nt
Filed under: Mus musculus (house mouse)
Lineage: Eukaryota; Metazoa; Chordata; Mammalia; Rodentia; Muridae
Description: RIKEN cDNA 4930488N15 gene
Source: RNAcentral
GAACUCAGAGAUGAGAAACGAUCCGUUAUGGAAGGCUUUUCCCACCUCUGAGCUGUGUGGCCGUUUGGAAAUUCACCCUUAGGAUCAUUGUGAGAAGCACAAAUGGACGACCGAGGUACUGAAAGUGUGUACUGUGUUAGAAGAAAGGACAGAUAAGAUACGACUGUGGCGAUGACAGUUGGGGGAGCAGCCGGGAAACCACGUGGUAGAGAACUGCUGUCACCAUCUUUUAGGUAACUUCAGGCUUGCAAAGAAGACUUUUCGUUUCCACAUUUGCAAUGAAAGAAGAAAGCUAUACCGAUGGAAUCCUGGGAUGCCACCUAAGAUCAAAGAGCUCUGAGCAAUGAAACAGAGCUAGGGAACCUGAGGGUUGUCCCAAAGCCUAUUCUGCACUUGUGCCUCAUUGUUGGAUUCCAUCUGAGGGAAGAGAACAUCAGCCAAGGUCACACACUGAGAAGUGAGUCUUGGAGGUGGCUAAAAUUAGGUCAUUUCUAGACUCUAGUUAGCCUCUCUGUUUACCAAAUCUUUGCCUGUGCCAUCCCAAUGAACUAGUGUAGCAUCUUAAAUCACCUGUAUACCACUCCAGUGUUCCAUCCUUGUAUACAAGAGCUUUAUCCCUGUGUUUCUUGAAACCAUCCCAUGAGACCUGGGUAACAUUCUUUUAUGUGGUGUACCAUUCCAGGACUGUGGUGCCAACGCUGUGGUCUUCUGUUACCUUGGAGUACCAUCUCUAUGGGUCUGGAAACAAUUCAGGUGGACCUGUGAACCAGCCACUCCAGUAUAAUAUUCUAGCAUGGCUGGGGAACCAUCAGCAUACUUGGGUAUUAUUCUAGUAAUCUUGCCUGUCAUCCCAGUGUGACCAGAUAUCAUACUGAAGACCCUGGCUAGCACCCAUGUGGGCCCAUUACAGUCAACCUGCAUUCUGUCCCAAUGUAUCCCAACACUAUCCUUAUGUGGGUUCUGUGAACUCAGCAACCAUAAUUUCCUAGAUAUGUAUGACAGGUAGGUAGCUCAUUUUCAAGGUUGGAAGGGACAUCAGCUUUAAAAUUUGCUUCUACACUCAGAUGCCAGGCUGGGGUUUGUACCUAUAAUCCUAUACUACAUGCUACAUGUGUAGAGGGAUCCAUUGCUCUGACCGCUCUCUGCUGGCCUGCAGAUGGGAGGUCAUCUAGGAAGUCUUCCUUUUUUUUUUUACUUGGUUUCAGAUCCAAGGUGAAAGAUUAACAGACAUAGGGCUCUCAUCCCCAAACAUACCUUGACCACCUUGCUCCUUGUCUCUGAGACAACACCCCUCUUGGUCUCUGGUCUGAUUCUGUUCUAUAAAUUGGAGAAUCCACACAGGGCAGGAAGGCUGUUGAAACCCUGUUCCCCACAGAAAGGAUAGUACAGAUUCCCCAAUUAGUAACAUGUUGUCGGGUUCAAUUCUUUUCCAGCUAAAAUUGGGCAGGCAGAACUCCCCACUGAGGUAAAAGACAAUUUUUUUUAAAAAAGGAUUCUUUUACAAAACAUAUUUUUAAUUGGUUUGGAUUUUUAAAAUAAUAAUAAAAAACGAGCUAACUCC